UACGUAGGGUGCGAGCGUUGUCCGGAAUUAUUGGGCGUAAAGAGCUUGUAGGCGGUCUGUCGCGUCUGCUGUGAAAACCCGGGGCUUAACCCCUGGCUUGCAGUGGAUACGGACAGACUAGAGGUAGGUAGGGGAGAAUGGAAUUCCCGGUGUAGCGGUGAAAUGCGCAGAUAUCGGGAGGAACACCGGUGGCGAAGGCGGUUCUCUGGGCCUUACCUGACGCUGAGGAGCGAAAGCGUGGGGAGCGAACAGG
Molecule: ribosomal RNA, 253 nt
Filed under: uncultured bacterium
Lineage: Bacteria
Description: partial 16S ribosomal RNA
Rfam family: Bacterial small subunit ribosomal RNA
Source: RNAcentral